CCUACGGGAGGCAGCAGUGGGGAAUAUUGGACAAUGGGGGGAACCCUGAUCCAGCCAUGCCGCGUGUGUGAAGAAGGCCCUCGGGUUGUAAAGCACUUUCAGUGAGGAAGAACGCCUGGUGGUUAAUACCCAUCAGGAAAGACAUCACUCACAGAAGAAGCACCGGCUAACUCCGUGCCAGCAGCCGCGGUAAUACGGAGGGUGCGAGCGUUAAUCGGAAUUACUGGGCGUAAAGCGCGCGUAGGUGGCUUGAUAAGCCGGUUGUGAAAGCCCCGGGCUCAACCUGGGAACGGCAUCCGGAACUGUCAAGCUAGAGUGCAGGAGAGGAAGGUAGAAUUCCCGGUGUAGCGGUGAAAUGCGUAGAGAUCGGGAGGAAUACCAGUGGCGAGGCGGCCUUCUGGACUGACACUGACACUGAGGUGCGAAAGCGUGGGUAGCAAACAGGAUUAGAUACCCCGGUAGUC
Molecule: ribosomal RNA, 464 nt
Filed under: Vreelandella stevensii
Lineage: Bacteria; Pseudomonadati; Pseudomonadota; Gammaproteobacteria; Oceanospirillales; Halomonadaceae
Description: partial 16S ribosomal RNA
Rfam family: Bacterial small subunit ribosomal RNA
Source: RNAcentral